AUUAUCACAUCUUCUGGUUUAUCAAAUUAUCACAUCUUCGGAUUUUGUGCAAGGACAGCUUCGGGUUCCGUUUCGCUUUGGCCGAUGCUUGUCGGAAGUACACUUAUUUACCGGAAGUUGUCGUCUCCUCCGCAGGCCCUUCGAUCUUCGACUACGCGCGCGGCUCGACACAAAUGAAAAACAAGAAAAAAAACAAGAAAAAAAAUAGGAGCCGAAUUUAAGACCUCGGUGUCGUACCGACCCGAGGUAAUUAAGCCUAUUAAGCAUAAAUACUUUAAGAGGUGUCCAUAUUAAGUAGAGGCAAGGACUUGG
Molecule: non-coding RNA, 312 nt
Organism: Paramuricea clavata
Lineage: Eukaryota; Metazoa; Cnidaria; Anthozoa; Malacalcyonacea; Plexauridae
Source: the annotation of a GenBank genome assembly